GUGUCGAUUGCGGCUCAUCGUAAGGCAGUUUGCUUGGUUAACGCCAGCUGCCUAGCGAAGGGCAACAAACGACAG
This 75-nucleotide microRNA precursor is filed under the name Danaus plexippus plexippus. Its description in RNAcentral is "mir-745 microRNA precursor family". It matches the Rfam family "mir-745 microRNA precursor family". The record is from Rfam by way of RNAcentral. Lineage: Eukaryota; Metazoa; Arthropoda; Insecta; Lepidoptera; Nymphalidae.